AGCGUUGUGCAAGCAGGCUCUGGAGACCCGCAGGCUCCUGGGCAGAGGGCUGCCUUCUGUGUGGGCUUGCCCCUCGCCACACCUGGCCAGGAGCCUCCCCCAGCCCCGUGACCCUUGUGUCAGAGCCUGGCCAGAUGACAGACGGCCUGGGGUGCAGGCGAGACCCACUGAACUGGCAGCUGAGGACAGGUCCAGGCCCAGUGGCUGGGGGACUUCUCAGAGCAGGUACCACAACAGCUACCCAAGGACUCAGGACUUUUCUCCCACAGCCAGACUUGGUGAUUGCAUGAAGGAGCCCAGCCUCGGAUGACCUUUCCCCGUGACAAGGCACUAGGAGAGCACAGACCUCCCCACACAAACAUAACACACAAGAGCUCAGGUAACAAGAAGAGAACUGUACCCGGAUGAUGAACUGGAACAUCCACCCUCAUCUUCACCUCCUCCACCCCAGGCCAUGUGCUUCACAGUCACACAGGGGAGCUUCUGGAAUGGACAGUGUUCCUGGUGUUGACUAUAGCCGUGGGCCUCUGAGAAGCUGAAGCAGUGUUGGGCGGAGACAGCUUCAGGGUCACCAGGCCCAGCUAGAACUCCAGGCUGACCUCAGGGCAACGUCCAGCAUCAAGAUGAGCUCCUGGGGCAUGAGGCUACGCAAGGCCUGAGACCCCACAGAUGGAGGACGCUGGGCCACCUGGUGGGGCUCCUUCAGCAAGAGAGGAAAGCAGGCCAAGGCCAGAGGCAGCUGCUGUCUGAAGAUGGGAGGGAGGCGUGCAGGCCUGGCUCCAGCCCACGGUGCGCAGCAAACUCCAGCCUGCUAGACGCAGAUGCAAUUGGAGCCAAGUGCACCUUGAUACCUCCAAGAUGUGACCCCUUACCAGACCCUAAACAAACCUUGUUGACAGAGCCAGACCACCCCUAUUUGAAUCAGCUGCGUGGCCACGUGCCUGUCAUUCGGUCUCUCUGUCCCCAUUUCUACAAUGUAAAACAGGAAAGUGAAACCCAUGGGCCAGCGGCCGCAUGCAGGAAAGCUGGCACUGUCAGCCAUGGCUGUGGUGACUCCCUGGGCCUUAAGCGAGCAAAGAGCCCACACACCCAAAUUCAGCACCU
RNAcentral lists this long non-coding RNA (1104 nucleotides) under Homo sapiens (human). Its description in RNAcentral is "non-protein coding lnc-RREB1-9:3". Lineage: Eukaryota; Metazoa; Chordata; Mammalia; Primates; Hominidae. The record is from RNAcentral.